Long non-coding RNA from Mustela lutreola (European mink), 2167 nucleotides. RefSeq lists it as uncharacterized. The record is from RefSeq and is a predicted model, not a curated record. The transcript is spliced from 5 exons. Lineage: Eukaryota; Metazoa; Chordata; Mammalia; Carnivora; Mustelidae.
GUUUAGAGGUGGGACAGAAGACUACAGAGAGUCAGAGGGCUCACAGAAUGUAAGGAAGGCUGAAGGAUUGGGGAUAUUUUAAUCAUUGUCCUAUCACAGAUGGGUCCAAUCAUGAAUUAGUUCAGGAUUUGAGUUGGAAGUAUCUGUGAGGAAUGUCAGAGCUAACCCCCAGGGAUGUGGAUGUUAGGGAAACAGCUCAGGAGGUAUGUAGGGUUGUCAAUGGUGGAAAUGAUGACCAAGUGGCAGUGGGUGUGCAAGAGUGUGUGAGGUGAGAAGAGCAGAGAAGGAUGGAUCCUGGGACCAAAUUCCUCCUUCUGUCACUCCAAAGGAUGGACCGCUACCCUCAUGUUCAGGGAGAGGAGCCCGCACUCUGUGCCUGCAGCAGUCCCUGUGCACUUUCCUUCUGUUCCCUGAGUUAGGGCUACUGUUUUGCUCCCUGUAGAGGCCACUCCUCAAAGAGACCCCAGAAUGCAAUGCUGUCCCUGGAGCUGUGCGCAGAAAGACUCUGCUGGGAUUCCUGGAUUCUCCAGCUUCUCUCUUGCAGAGGCCUUCUUUCCUAGGGCCUCUCCUUGGAAGCCAGCUUUCACAGUGAGCCUGAACUUGCUGAUGUUCUUAACCCUUGGGACUGCCUACCACACCAAGAGAGAACAUACCACAAAGUGGCAGGAGGUGCAGGAACAGGAGAAACUGCAUGAGGACAAGCAAAAGGACCAGAACACAAAGGAAAGUGUUCUGAAUGCCAGAGAUGAUCUGCAAGCAGUUCUUGGAAAGUUCUGUUCUUUCUCCAGAACUUUCUGCAUCCCCUUUGUAGGAGGUGUUCUGGUUCUCACCUUCUGUUUCCUGUGUUACCUUUAAGACUGGAGGAAAUCUAUUUACCUGGCUGGUUUUGAGGCAAAUGAGAGCUAAAUGACUUGGCGAAGGACUCAAAAUGGCUGUGGACAGGAGUGAAACUCAGCCUGCAAUGCAGACUUCCUGACCUGUGGUCCAGGGACUUUCCCUCAAUACCCUGCUGUCAGCACGUGGCAGGAGGUCAUCUCCUCUCCAGAUUUUCCCUGCUCUGCAGCUAGUGUCACCUAUAUUCCAGAGGGCAGACAAGGGUCUGUAGAUGAAUGCUGAGCAGGCUUGUUCUGACUGAGUUCUCACCAGGGUGUGCUCCCUUUCAGCCAGGAGGAAGGCACAGCUAUAUGCAGUAUCUGGCACUCUAGAUCCAGAGUCUGCACAUCCUGACCUUGAUGUCUCUGAUAAAAAGACUAAUAUGAUCUGAAUGGACACAUUUGAGGAUAUAGGAGAGACACAGCAUCCUGGACUGUGAGCUCCAAACAUCACAGUGAUGUUACUGGGAGGUGAAAAUCAAGAGUAGAAACAGAAAUGAGUGGGCUCUGGGGGUCUGUAGGGAAGGUGUGAAGAAGUAGGACUGGCACAAGAGUUCCCAGAAAAGGGGUUCUGGAUUGUGGGCACUUUGCCAAUAUAUAUUAUUCCUGCACCAUCACUGUGAAUCAACUAAUCCUUGUGCAAGUUCUCCACAGGGUAGGGGUUUUCCUGGACCUCAAUAAAGGUGUUGUCUGCUUUUAUAACAUGACUGAUAGCUUCCACAUUUUCUCCUUCUCUUUAGCUUCCUCCACUGGCUCUCUGUUUCUAUAUAUCAUGUCUCGGUCAGGAGAUGUGUCCCUGACAUUUUCUCUGUGGUGGGUGGGCCUGGAGAGGACCCUGUGCUUUAUCCUUCUUUGGAAGAGACUGUGAACCUUUCAGGGCAGGGUUUUAGUCCAGGCUCUGGUGUUGAUGGUGCUUUCCAAGGAGCCAAAUCUUCAUUACUUUCUUGUAGCCCAAUGUUAUAUCCCCCUUACGGCCCAACAUAGUCUCAAACUGCUCAUGGUGGUUCUUAUUGAAGCUGCAGACUCCCUGAAGCAAAAGGAUUGAGGCUGGUACUGGGUGAGCUGGUGUCCUGCCCUCCUGUUCUGGAUACAGACUCCUGGUGUGGUUAUGAGAAUAGUUAGUUUAUACCUUAUGCUCAGGUAGCAGAAGAUAAAAGUUGACUCUUGUUUGAGCUGAUUUGGGGUAGGCUGAAUUUUACUGCCAGAGGUCAUGUUUCUUUUGGUAAUGAAAAUUAUUUCUUUUAAAAAGAUUUUAAUCAUCAUUUAUAUUUCAUUUAUAUUAUCAGUGCCCUUAU